This is a long non-coding RNA of Rhagoletis pomonella (apple maggot), 648 nucleotides long. RefSeq lists it as uncharacterized. Lineage: Eukaryota; Metazoa; Arthropoda; Insecta; Diptera; Tephritidae. The transcript is spliced from 2 exons. The record is from RefSeq and is a predicted model, not a curated record.
GCAUCGAUAUUUUUCCGAUUUUCCUACAGCAAAGACAGCAGAGGCAUGAAAAUCGACAGCCAGAAAGUUUUUUCUCUGCAAACGGUUGACUGGAAAAAUCGAAGGAGCAAAAUCAUAGCGCACGCAGAUUUCUGAAGAAAAAAAUAUUAAUUGCAAUUGCAUUUGGAGAGAAAAAAUAAAUUCCAAACUAAAAAAAAUUACGUGAGUUCUGCGCGAAGAAUUUUCGGUGGAAAUAAAAACCCAAUUGUCCCGCUGUACAAAAGCCGAAACCAGUUGGUUGGUGAAGAUAAAAAACGGUUAAAACCAUCAGAAAUACAUAUAAACCACAAAGCAAAGAGCAUACAAAACUGUAAUUGACAAAACGGAACUAACAGUAAUAGUAGUUUUCAAUCAGUAAAUCAUACACGCUCCAGAUCGUUUGCAGCUCUAACCUAAAAAAAAAACACAACAAAUACAAGUUCCAACGUUAGUUCCCCAACUUCGCUAAGACAGCACCAACAAAGCGCACAGCAAAUUAAAAAGCGUCAGCAUCAUGACUAUGGCUGGGCAGACCAUCAACGAUCGGCUAUUGGCGGCGCGGCAUAGCUUGGCCGGUCAAGGCCUGGCUAAGUCGGUGUGCAAGGCCACCACAGAGGAGUGCAUCGGACC